CCAUGCAGCCGGGGAAUUAGCGGCUCCCUGAACCUGAAAUCCGCUAUAGCAGGGGUGAUAUUCUGCCGAGGGCUUUUGUUUAUUGUAGCUGCCCGGUUUAAGUGAUGUUGAUGCUUGGGUCUUACGCAAUAGGAAUCCACGAACCAUGUCAGGUUGGGAACAAAGCAGCAUUAAGUGGAAGCUCUUAUGUGACGUGAGGUCGCCUGAGUUGAGUUAACUGAAUCGGUAACGUGUGAUGGACGGGCUCGAAGCAGGAUGCAUGG
This is a non-coding RNA of 263 nucleotides. It matches the Rfam family "Bacterial large signal recognition particle RNA". Rfam says of the family: The signal recognition particle (SRP) is a universally conserved ribonucleoprotein involved in the co-translational targeting of proteins to membranes. Archaeal SRP consists of a 7S RNA and homologues of the eukaryotic SRP19 and SRP54 proteins. The record is from Rfam.